UCCAUGGGGUCGGGUACUCUUUCCCUCCCCUACCCUGCCCUCCCCUAGCGGUGGCUGACACACUGUUCUCGUCUAUCUCCCGGGGAUGCCCUGCCCUCCCCUGGUGUGCUGGGGACCGAUGACCGUGGGGAAUUUGAUCUUGUGGCGCCCGUCGAACGUCGAGAGGUUUAUGAGGAUGGAACUACCACCAUAUCUACCCAGCGUUUUGGUUUGGUCUUGUGAUGCUGACGCACAUUGUCUUUCAUGUUCCUACUAUUUGCCUUUUAGUUUUGACUUGUGAUCCCGACGCACAUUUUCUUUCUACAACUGUGAUAUUUCCCUCCUUCAUUGAUGAAUGCAACUGCAUGAAUGGGACAGCGAAGCCGCUGUCAUGAAAAUUGCAGAAUGAUGACAGAGAUACGAAGGCGUGAAAUAAAAGGCAAAUGUGAAGCUCUUGCAUCAAUCCUCAGACUGCUUCCUGCAAAAUUUCCCGCAUAACUACAACAUGAGAUUGGCUACUUAAUAGUAUGGAGAGGACAAGAUCGAAAAGGAUGGUGAUAUAAGGAAAGCGGGGAGUGGAAGAGGAAGAAAGUUGGGAUGACAAUUAUAAAUAGAAUAUCGAGUUUGAUGAUGAUGAUGAUGAUUGGAACCAAGAGGAGGAACCAAUUUUUCCUGCUAGAAAGAACGCAAGUGACUUAUUUAAUCUCAGAGAUAUGUCCCCGUUAUCACUUUUGAGGAGUCAUUGUUCCAGUCACACAAAAUGUUGACAAAUGUAUCAUUUACAAUGACCAUUCAAUUGUAAUUUCAGUGCCACGUCAUAAAAUUUCAACUCACCAGUUCAGCCCCUUCCAUAAGAUAUUGCAUCAAAGGUCGGAAGUGAAUCGUGCAAUACAUCAAUCUAAUAUUAGUUAUAAUCGGCUGACCAUGUAGGAUGUACCACUUGUGAUGUAUUACACUCCAUAUUUCCUUACAUUUGUG
Long non-coding RNA from Triticum aestivum (bread wheat), 957 nucleotides. RefSeq lists it as uncharacterized. The transcript has 6 exons. The record is from RefSeq and is a predicted model, not a curated record. Lineage: Eukaryota; Viridiplantae; Streptophyta; Magnoliopsida; Poales; Poaceae.